Molecule: ribosomal RNA, 468 nt
Filed under: uncultured bacterium
Lineage: Bacteria
Description: partial 16S ribosomal RNA
Rfam family: Bacterial small subunit ribosomal RNA
Source: RNAcentral
GACGAACGCUGGCGGCGUGCUUAACACAUGCAAGUCGAACGGAAAGGCCCUGCUUUUGUGGGGUGCUCGAGUGGCGAACGGGUGAGUAACACGUGAGUAACCUGCCCUUGACUUUGGGAUAACUUCAGGAAACUGGGGCUAAUACCGGAUAGGAGCUCCUGCUGCAUGGUGGGGGUUGGAAAGUUUCGGCGGUUGGGGAUGGACUCGCGGCUUAUCAGCUUGUUGGUGGGGUAGUGGCUUACCAAGGCUUUGACGGGUAGCCGGCCUGGGAGGGUGACCGGCCACAUUGGGACUGAGAUACGCCCCAGACUCCUACGGGAGGCAGCAGGGGGGAAUAUUGCACAAUGGGCGGAAGCCUGAUGCAGCAACGCCGCGUGCGGGAUGACGGCCUUCGGGUUGUAAACCGCUUUCGCCUGUGACGAAGCGUGAGUGACGGUAAUGGGUAAAGAAGCACCGGCUAACUACGUG